AUGUGGCAUUUUUACCCCCAGAAAGUCAAUCAACUGUCUGAUGCUAAAUACCCACUUUAUUAUAUAACUUCCCUCUGGGAAUCAAAACAAAAUAACACUGGAUCAAACGCUUCAGUUAAUGAAUGCAGUGGAGAAUCAGGUCAAGAGACUGAGCAAGUGGAAAAGACACCAUGGUUUGGAGGGAGAAAAAAGAUUUUAUACCUGGGCUUCAGAGCCUGGAGCUGGUAUAACAGAAAAUACAUGAAGACAAUCAAGAUGCCUUUCUUCAAGUCCAUCUGCAAAUCCGAUCGAAGCAAGGAAAUGAAUGUGCCUGCCAGGACCAACUUCUACAACUACCUGCCACUACUCAACUGUUCUUAUUAACUUCUUCGUUACUACUUGUCUUUAAUACUCAGGUGGUGAGAGAAAAAUGCAGCACAUUGUAUGGACCUUAUGGAUGAAUUCUGUGUGACUUUGUAAACUCACUCUUAAUGUGCUAUUGAAAUACUCUCUGUACAAUCCUCUCCGUAAUGGGAGUAUGGUAUGUUUCUUAGUUCCAAAGUGCAACUACCUAAACUUUGGCUUUAUUUGGAGCACCUGGAUUUGUAAGGUGAUGUUCACACUUUACUUAGAAAACAGUAUACUGAACUGUAAAGCUCUGAAACUUAUAUUAUGAUUGGGUUGUGGGAUUAUUUCCACCAGGUUGCUGAAGUAGCUCAGCUGGGAGAGCGUUAGACUGAAGAUCUAAAGGUCCCUGGUUCAAUCCCGGGCUUCAGCAGUCGUUUUUCCAUAGUUUUGUGAGUUUCAGUUGUAGUUUGUACAACACAAAUGGAGAUGUGGCACAGUCUGGAGCCUGGGAGUUGCCCCUCUCCAUCAGGAUGUGUUGAGUAGGUGCUGUUAAGGAGACAAACUUGUCUUUAGACUGAGGACAGUCAUUUUUUGCCUGUCCGUUCAUCUCUUUUCAUGGCUUCCCAGCUGCACCAUUGCUAAUGAAAUCUGUACAGUGAUAUUCUGUCAUUUCACAGAAGGUGAUCCUGAGGCUGGAAGUAAGAUGUUUCUUGAGGUGACUGAUAAAGGUCUGUGUAAGAAAAGGGAUCUCCUGGUCCAAGCUAAAAUUGUUAAAAGGUGUUCAAGGCCAGGUUGGAUGAGGCCCUAGGCAGCUUGGUCUAAUAUUAAAUGGGGAUGUUGGUGGUCCUACCUUUGGUAGUGGGCAAAGGGGCAGGGUUGGAGAUUCAUUAUCAUUGAGGUCCCUUCCAGCCUGUGAUUUCUGUGAUUUAUCUUUACUUCUGAACUUCUGAAGAACUAAAAACACAGCAAAACUCUACUGGCACUUCCCAUGAGAGUGUUUUGCCUACUAACUAAUGGAAAUACCUGGGGAGUUACUCAAACAUGUCCUCCUCCAAGUUUACUGUUUACUGUUUGCAAACACGGGCACACAGAAAUUGAUGUAUGAAUGGCAGAAAAUAACACUGCAGGAAGAAAUGAUUUGCCUAGCAAACAGAAAUGAUUACUCCAAUUUUAAUUCCCAUUCUUUCUUUAUGGAUGUCCACAUGAACUGCAAAAACUCAAACUGGAUAUUGGCCCUGAGGAGUUUCUUAUGUCAGCACUGUAAUAAUUACCUCUAAUUAUUAUGGAAUGAGAAUAAAAGGACAUUCCCCAUAGCUAGGAAAUGGUCA
RNAcentral lists this transfer RNA (1655 nucleotides) under Coturnix japonica (Japanese quail). Its description in RNAcentral is "lncRNA (ENSCJPG00005010471.1)". The stretch from base 685 to 757 matches the Rfam family "tRNA". The record is from RNAcentral. Lineage: Eukaryota; Metazoa; Chordata; Aves; Galliformes; Phasianidae.